This 545-nucleotide long non-coding RNA is filed under the name Phoenix dactylifera (date palm). RNAcentral describes it as "long non-coding RNA (PDAC_LNC022052)". Lineage: Eukaryota; Viridiplantae; Streptophyta; Magnoliopsida; Arecales; Arecaceae. The record is from RNAcentral.
ACAUAAUACAGUGGAAAUGGCAAGGGAUGAUGAAAGGUCAAGAUUAAACAAAAUCUUGUUGCCAUAUCAUCUGAAAUGGGAUGUAUAUAUAUGUAGGCAACAACAGCAAGAAAUCAUGGGCCAAGAACAUCGAAAUAUACAAAAAAACACACCUAAUAACAAACAGUAACUUCAGCAAUAGCUAUUAAAGCUAAAUAUUUUGAAUCAACAGUAGCAAUCAAUAUUCUUGCAGCCACACCAACUGUGAUGUGCGCCACAGCCUUUAAUAAGCCAGAGAUCAAGCAUUCUAAAUUUGCAACCGACUCAAAUUCUUGGUAAAGGAUUAGUUAUGUGGCAUACAACCGCAAACAGAAUAGGUGACUUAGGUACAACAGAAUAAUCAACCAUGACAUAACUUCCAUUAUGAGUUCAUCUCAUACAUUGGUAAAAUCACGGGGGCAGCAAUUUUAAGAUUAGUCUCAGACUUCAUGAUUGCAACAGUUGUCUAUGCAUUGGUAGCCAAAUUUUCCACAAAGUUAAAUUCAGCAAAGAUCAUCAUAAAUUUG